UGUGAGUGAUGAACAAAUCUCUCCUGACAUUACUGUGGGGGUAAAAACUGAUUUAAUGAGCCUGACAC
Molecule: small nucleolar RNA, 68 nt
Organism: Sphaeramia orbicularis (orbiculate cardinalfish)
Lineage: Eukaryota; Metazoa; Chordata; Actinopteri; Kurtiformes; Apogonidae
Source: Ensembl